UAAUUAUUGACCCGCAUGAAUGGAUU
RNAcentral lists this small RNA (26 nucleotides) under Bombyx mori (domestic silkworm). RNAcentral's name for it is "ovarian small RNA-19884". Lineage: Eukaryota; Metazoa; Arthropoda; Insecta; Lepidoptera; Bombycidae. The record is from RNAcentral.